ACGGGUGAGUAACGCGUGGGAACGUACCUUUUGGUUCGGAACAACACAGGGAAACUUGUGCUAAUACCGGAUAAGCCCUUACGGGGAAAGAUUUAUCGCCGAAAGAUCGGCCCGCGUCUGAUUAGCUAGUUGGUGGGGUAAAGGCCCACCAAGGCGACGAUCAGUAGCUGGUCUGAGAGGAUGAUCAGCCACAUUGGGACUGAGACACGGCCCAAACUCCUACGGGAGGCAGCAGUGGGGAAUAUUGGACAAUGGGCGCAAGCCUGAUCCAGCCAUGCCGCGUGAGUGAUGAAGGCCCUAGGGUUGUAAAGCUCUUUUGUGCGGGAAGAUAAUGACGGUACCGCAAGAAUAAGCCCCGGCUAACUUCGUGCCAGCAGCCGCGGUAAUACGAAGGGGGCUAGCGUUGCUCGGAAUCACUGGGCGUAAAGGGUGCGUAGGCGGGUCUUUAAGUCAGGGGUGAAAUCCUGGAGCUCAACUCCAGAACUGCCUUUGAUACUGAAGAUCUUGAGUUCGGGAGAGGUGAGUGAACUGCGAGU
RNAcentral lists this ribosomal RNA (536 nucleotides) under uncultured bacterium. RNAcentral's name for it is "bacterial SSU rRNA". It matches the Rfam family "Bacterial small subunit ribosomal RNA", at positions 102 to 674 of the family's 1533-position model. The record is from RNAcentral.